This 440-nucleotide ribosomal RNA is filed under the name uncultured Janthinobacterium sp. Its description in RNAcentral is "bacterial SSU rRNA". It matches the Rfam family "Bacterial small subunit ribosomal RNA", at positions 358 to 789 of the family's 1533-position model. Lineage: Bacteria; Pseudomonadati; Pseudomonadota; Betaproteobacteria; Burkholderiales; Oxalobacteraceae. The record is from RNAcentral.
GGAAUUUUGGACAAUGGGCGAAAGCCUGAUCCAGCAAUGCCGCGUGAGUGAAGAAGGCCUUCGGGUUGUAAAGCUCUUUUGUCAGGGAAGAAACGGUGAGAGCUAAUAUCUCUUGCUAAUGACGGUACCUGAAGAAUAAGCACCGGCUAACUACGUGCCAGCAGCCGCGGUAAUACGUAGGGUGCAAGCGUUAAUCGGAAUUACUGGGCGUAAAGCGUGCGCAGGCGGUUUUGUAAGUCUGAUGUGAAAUCCCCGGGCUCAACCUGGGAAUUGCAUUGGAGACUGCAAGGCUAGAAUCUGGCAGAGGGGGGUAGAAUUCCACGUGUAGCAGUGAAAUGCGUAGAUAUGUGGAGGAACACCGAUGGCGAAGGCAGCCCCCUGGGUCAAAACUGACGCUCAUGCACGAAAGCGUGGGGAGCAAACAGGAUUAGAUACCCCUG